This 237-nucleotide ribosomal RNA is filed under the name uncultured bacterium. Its description in RNAcentral is "partial 16S ribosomal RNA". It matches the Rfam family "Bacterial small subunit ribosomal RNA", at positions 8 to 228 of the family's 1533-position model. The record is from RNAcentral.
AGAGUUUGAUCAUGGCUCAGGACGAACGCUGGCGGCGUGCUUAACACAUGCAAGUCGAACGAGAAUCUGAUGAAGGAGUUUUCGGACAACUGAUUCAGAGGAAAGUGGCGGACGGGUGAGUAACGCGUGAGGAACCUGCCUUGAAGAGGGGGACAACAGUUGGAAACGACUGCUAAUACCGCAUGACGCAUAGGGAUCGCAUGAUCUUUAUGCCAAAGAUUUAUCGCUUCAAGAUGG